Molecule: ribosomal RNA, 649 nt
Filed under: Cortinarius diosmus
Lineage: Eukaryota; Fungi; Basidiomycota; Agaricomycetes; Agaricales; Cortinariaceae
Description: eukaryotic LSU rRNA
Rfam family: Eukaryotic large subunit ribosomal RNA
Source: RNAcentral
UGACCUCAAAUCAGGUAGGACUACCCGCUGAACUUAAGCAUAUCAAUAAGCGGAGGAAAAGAAACUAACAAGGAUUCCCCUAGUAACUGCGAGUGAAGCGGGAAAAGCUCAAAUUUAAAAUCUGGCGGUCUUCUGGCUGUCCGAGUUGUAAUCUAGAGAAGUGUUAUCCGCGCUGGACCAUGUACAAGUCUCCUGGAAUGGAGCAUCAUAGAGGGUGAGAAUCCCGUCUUUGACAUGGACUGCCAGGGCUUUGUGAUGCGCUCUCAAAGAGUCGAGUUGUUUGGGAAUGCAGCUCAAAAUGGGUGGUAAAUUCCAUCUAAAGCUAAAUAUUGGCGAGAGACCGAUAGCGAACAAGUACCGUGAGGGAAAGAUGAAAAGAACUUUGGAAAGAGAGUUAAACAGUACGUGAAAUUGCUGAAAGGGAAACGCUUGAAGUCAGUCGCGUCGUCCAGGGAUCAACCUUGCUUUUGCUUGGUGCACUUCCUGGUUUGACGGGUCAGCAUCAAUUUUGACCAUUGGAAAAAGAUCAAGGGAAUGUGGCAUCUUUGGAUGUGUUUAUAGCCCUUGGUCGCAUACAAUGGUUUGGGAUUGAGGAACUCAGCAUGCCGCAAGGCCGGGUGCAUAACCACGUACGUGCUUAGGAUGUGAC